Molecule: ribosomal RNA, 253 nt
Filed under: uncultured bacterium
Lineage: Bacteria
Description: partial 16S ribosomal RNA
Rfam family: Bacterial small subunit ribosomal RNA
Source: RNAcentral
UACGUAGGGUCCGAGCGUUGUCCGGAAUUACUGGGCGUAAAGAGCUCGUAGGUGGUUUGUCGCGUUGUUCGUGAAAACUCACAGCUCAACUGUGGGCGUGCGGGCGAUACGGGCAGACUAGAGUACUGCAGGGGAGACUGGAAUUCCUGGUGUAGCGGUGGAAUGCGCAGAUAUCAGGAGGAACACCGGUGGCGAAGGCGGGUCUCUGGGCAGUAACUGACGCUGAGGAGCGAAAGCAUGGGGAGCGAACAGG